This is a small nuclear RNA of Sorex araneus (European shrew), 158 nucleotides long. RefSeq annotates it as U1 spliceosomal RNA. The transcript has a single exon. NCBI's taxonomy places the organism in Eukaryota, Metazoa, Chordata, Mammalia, Eulipotyphla, Soricidae. The record is from RefSeq and is a predicted model, not a curated record.
AUACUUACCUGACAGAGGAGAUACCAUUAUCACAAAGGUGGCUUUCCCAGCAAGAGGCUAUCCAUAGCAAUUUGGAUGUGCUGACUCCUGAAAUUUCUCCACAUGUGGGAAACUCAACUUCAUAAUUUGGUUGUCGGGUACUGUGCUUAGAAACCUGG